This 253-nucleotide ribosomal RNA is filed under the name uncultured bacterium. RNAcentral describes it as "partial 16S ribosomal RNA". It matches the Rfam family "Bacterial small subunit ribosomal RNA", at positions 524 to 776 of the family's 1533-position model. The record is from RNAcentral.
UACGGGGGGGGCAAGCGUUGUUCGGAAUUACUGGGCGUAAAGGGCUCGUAGGCGGCCAACUAAGUCAGACGUGAAAUCCCUCGGCUUAACCGGGGAACUGCGUCUGAUACUGGAUGGCUUGAGUUUGGGAGAGGGAUGCGGAAUUCCAGGUGUAGCGGUGAAAUGCGUAGAUAUCGUAAGGAAGACCAGUGGCGAAGGCGGGUCUCUGGACAGUUCCUGACGCUGAGGCACGAAGGCCAGGGGAGCAAACGGG